CUCCUCUCAGGGUUGCAGCUGGAGAGUUUCCAGUCCUCUACCAGUCUCAAAUGCAGGAGGGAGAGUCAAGCAGAGGCAUACCCAUUCCAUUCCUAGCUUGGGCAUUGGGUAGUGAAUGGAAGACAAUCUGCUUCAAGU
Ornithorhynchus anatinus (platypus) is the source of this 138-nucleotide small nucleolar RNA. The record is from RefSeq and is a predicted model, not a curated record. Lineage: Eukaryota; Metazoa; Chordata; Mammalia; Monotremata; Ornithorhynchidae.